AGUGGCUGUCUGAGUGACUGCCACUGGAGGUGUCCCGGGAGACCAAUCUAAACACUGCAAUUUAUUUGAAAAUACAUUGUUUGGAGCAAAAUGCCUGCAGGGAUUGACUAUACUCAUUAGAACAACUACAAUAAGCUGUAGUUGUUUUGGUGACUGUAGUGUCCCUUUAAGUGCAUACACACUAAACACUCUUCUAAGUGGGUUGUUCCUUGCAGCUUAGUACAAAAAAAGGAAAUAAAUAACAUAGUAUAAUAAC
This is a non-coding RNA of Pelobates cultripes (western spadefoot toad), 256 nucleotides long. The record is from the annotation of a GenBank genome assembly. NCBI's taxonomy places the organism in Eukaryota, Metazoa, Chordata, Amphibia, Anura, Pelobatidae.